AGUGGACGUAUACGGUGUGACGCCUGCCCGGUGCUGGAAGGUUAAUUGAUGGGGUCAGCCGUAAGGCGAAGCUCCUGAUCGAAGCCCCAGUAAACGGCGGCCGUAACUAUAACGGUCCUAAGGUAGCGAAAUUCCUUGUCGGGUAAGUUCCGACCUGCACGAAUGGCGUAAUGAUGGCCAGGCUGUCUCCACCCGAGACUCAGUGAAAUUGAACUCGCUGUGAAGAUGCAGUGUACCCGCGGCAAGACGGAAAGACCCCGUGAACCUUUACUAUAGCUUGACACUGAACAUUGAGCCUUGAUGUGUAGGAUAGGUGGGAGGCUUUGAAGUGUGGACGCCAGUCUGCAUGGAGCCAACCUUGAAAUACCACCCUUUAACGUUUGAUGUUCUAACCUA
Molecule: ribosomal RNA, 396 nt
Filed under: Proteus mirabilis
Lineage: Bacteria; Pseudomonadati; Pseudomonadota; Gammaproteobacteria; Enterobacterales; Morganellaceae
Description: partial 23S ribosomal RNA
Rfam family: Bacterial large subunit ribosomal RNA
Source: RNAcentral